Molecule: ribosomal RNA, 766 nt
Filed under: uncultured bacterium
Lineage: Bacteria
Description: bacterial SSU rRNA
Rfam family: Bacterial small subunit ribosomal RNA
Source: RNAcentral
CUGGGCGUAAAGGGUGUGUAGACGGCUUUUUAAGUUUGGUGUGAAAUCUCCCGGCUCAACUGGGAGGGUGCGCCGAAAACUGAAAGGCUAGAGUGCGGGAGAGGAGAGUGGAAUUCCUGGUGUAGCGGUGAAAUGCGUAGAUAUCAGGAGGAACACCGGUGGUGUAGACGGCUCUCUGGACCGCAACUGACGCUGAGACACGAAAGCGUGGGUAGCAAACAGGAUUAGAUACCCUGGUAGUCCACGCCCUAAACGAUGCAUAUUUGGUGUGGGUCAUUCAGUUGAUCCGUGCCGGAGCUAACGCGUUAAAUAUGCCGCCUGGGGAGUACAGUCGCAAGGCUGAAACUCAAAGGAAUUGACGGGGGCCCGCACAAGCGGUGGAGCAUGUGGUUCAAUUCGACGCAACGCGAAGAACCUCACCUGGGCUCGAACGGCCGGUCAACGUGGGUGGAAACACUUAUACCCCGCAAGGGGGUCCGGUCGAGGUGCUGCAUGGCUGUCGUCAGCUCGUGUCGUGAGAUGUUGGGUUAAGUCCCGCAACGAACRCAACCCUUGUCCUGUGUUGCCAUGCCGAAAGGCGGAACUCGCAGGAGACCGCCAGCGAUAAGCUGGAGGAAGGUGGGGAUGACGUCAAGUCCUCAUGGCCUUUAUGUCCAGGGCUACACACGUGCUACAAUGGACGGUACAAAGCGCAGCCAACCCGCGAGGGGGAGCCAAUCGCAGAAAACCGUUCUCAGUUCGGAUUGCAGCUGCAACCCGCCUGCAU